UCAUUUUUAAAGAAGAUAUUAUAUUGUGGUUUAUCUGUCCCUAUCUCACCAUUAUAUAUCCCUAUCUGAACCUCAGCAUACCAUAUGGCAAUGACAUUCUGGACUCUAUGCCUGAGCCUAAUGCCAUAAAGGAAUGAAGCUUUAGCAGUCUUCUGGGAGGGGCAAUGGAAUAUUAGCAGAUGUGACAUGAACAGAAGUUUAUAAAACUACAACAUGAUUGGCCCCGUACUUUUGAACCUAUGGUAGCACAAGAAGGAUAUGCUUAGACUAGCCUGCUGGUCCCACAGGAGGAUAUGAAACAUGUGAGGCAGAGCCAUGCCCAAGUGAACUCGGCUGGUUCCAGAGUAUGAAUGAG
Symphalangus syndactylus (siamang) is the source of this 355-nucleotide long non-coding RNA. RefSeq lists it as uncharacterized. The record is from RefSeq and is a predicted model, not a curated record. NCBI's taxonomy places the organism in Eukaryota, Metazoa, Chordata, Mammalia, Primates, Hylobatidae.